GCUGUAUGUGUACGAGGCUAAGACACCGGUGUAAUGCGAGCUUUAGCGAGCUAAUACUCCUGUUUCGAGCCGAGUACAAAUACAGCUUAACAUUUAAUGACACUAAACAGUUAUUGUCUUUAUCCUGCGUUUAAUUCUGUAUUUUGUUCGUGUUUUGAAAGACACAAAACUUCACAUUUUUUUGCAUUUAUUUUCGAUUUGAAAUCCCUUGCGUCCCGCAUAGUAAUAUUAAAAUCACAAAUUCAGCUGAAGACGGGUUGAAAAAAAAAAGAAUCUCGAAUGGUCAACAAUAAUACAUCGCUUAAGGUAAAUUAUUGUUUAUUUUAACAUAACAACUAAUUUCAGAUCUAGAUCUAGGUGAGGGCGUGCAAAUAUUAUAAUUUCACCGAGGGGA
This 394-nucleotide long non-coding RNA is filed under the name Mytilus galloprovincialis (Mediterranean mussel). Lineage: Eukaryota; Metazoa; Mollusca; Bivalvia; Mytilida; Mytilidae. The record is from RNAcentral.